GUAAUUUUCGGGAGAUUGCCUCAAGUUUUUACGUCAUUAACUUGCGGAGAAUGGUUCAGUGAGAAAAUAUUUAAGUCUACAUCGCAUGUAACAGUAGUCGACAUUGAGAAUAUCACCUGUAUCACCUUCCGAAAGAAGACAAUCCCCUUCAUAAGGAAUGAAUUUGAAAAGUUGGUAAUCUCUUCCUAAAAUAUUAUGACAGCGCCAUUUUAAGAAACAUGGAUCCGUGUCGAUCGUUAUUUACCCGAAAUCAUCAGACAAAAAUACGAAUAGAGAAAAAUGCAUACUGUAUCCGAACAACCAACAGAUUUAUUACAAAAUAAAAGAGAAAGGGAAGAUGUGCGAGGAAGACAGCACGUUAUCAAAAAACAGGUGAUCAGAAAAGAAGGGCAAGAGC
Molecule: long non-coding RNA, 397 nt
Organism: Bombus impatiens (common eastern bumble bee)
Lineage: Eukaryota; Metazoa; Arthropoda; Insecta; Hymenoptera; Apidae
Exons: 2
Source: RefSeq, a predicted model, not a curated record